Molecule: long non-coding RNA, 5420 nt
Organism: Homo sapiens (human)
Lineage: Eukaryota; Metazoa; Chordata; Mammalia; Primates; Hominidae
Exons: 2
Source: RefSeq, a predicted model, not a curated record
AUAGCACCAGAGCGAGACUCCAUCUCAAAACAAACAAACAAAAUGCUGACAUGUGACUUCUUAAUUUGCUUUUUAAUACAAAGCUUGAUUUCCGGGAACUUUCAAACCAGUCAUUUUGGCUUUUAAUCUAAGCUUAAAGCUAUAAUUUUUGAGUGUUCCAGGAUAACAAUGUUUUGUUCUAAUUCUUUGGAUUUGACCUUGCAACUGUAAUAAUCUAAGAAACCACAGCAUCAAAGUUAGGAAGCUAAUAGGCAUACAACACCCCCCUUCACUGCGCCAGUUUCUAAUUCUCUAGAAUAGUGAAACACACUUUCUUAGAAGGUCAAAAAGAAUUCUUAGGUAAUUUUCUUUUAGAUUAAAAAUACUUUUCAGCUUAAAUCCAGACUGUCAGUAUGUAGAAGGUUUAAACAUGAUCAACUGUUGCCCACUGAUAAUAGCUAAAAAUUUAAGGGCUUUACAGUUCAAGUAGGGCUUUUAACAUAGAUUAUUUAACUUAAUCUUCACAAUAACCCCAUGUUGUAUAUAAUGGUGUAACUGACUUGCAGAUGGUUAAAUAGGCUCUGCAAUGCUAAGCAAUGAUUUGACACGUUUACACAACAAAGAAAUGCACCUUGGAUUUGAAUUCAGACCCCCUGACUUCCAAAGCAAGGAUCAUACAUUUUUGGUGUAAAGCAGAAGGAAGCCCUGGAGGAAACUUAGGCAAGUAUUGUGGCAAUAUAACUCGUUAGUAACCCGGCGUCCAGCAGGGGGCAGAGCCCAUCCAUGUUCCCAAGUGGGCUUCCCCUUGAGAGAACUUACAGGUUCGGUCUGCAGGCGGCUUCCCGCUGCUGUGUCCCAGGGCAGUUAUCCAGCGGGCUCGCUCGCUCCUAAAACAGAGGGCAGAUCCAACUGAGAGACUCAAGGUGUAAAAACACAGAAUGGAGUGUUUUCUAGGCAGCCAAUGCAAAGGCACUCCCAGAAAACAAGAGAUUCUCUAGAGAGGUAUGGUAAAACAGGGUGAGAGUAGUUUAAAAGUGAUAAGCUGGAAAGUCUAAAAUAAGCAGGAGACUAGUCAUCAUUGUCAAAAGAGUCUGAAUGAACUUGGCUCAUUAUUGAUUAAAAGGAACUUCCCAUAUGACAGUUUAAAAGUUAAUAAGGAGCUGAUUACACGAACACAUUAUAACUCCAAAAGGUAUUUAGCAUACCCAUAAUUUGAUGUUUAACAUUUCAAAAGCAGUUAAGUUUCAUUUUUUAAAAAUCCUACUAAUUUCUCUGCUUCCUCCCCACUUCCCUUCCCACACACUCAAACCUUUCCGUAAACUUGAGAAACUUGACAUAUUUAGUUGUCUCAUCCCUCAUACAACUAAUUUUGCCAAAUAUGAGUCUUACUGAAAUAGAAAUUCUUUGGCCACUUUUACACUGUUCCCAAAUGCUUAAAAUGGUUUAAUGAGCACAGGAAAAAUGACCAAUACUUUUAAUAUAAUAUUAAGCUAUAAUUACAUAAAAAUAAUUAUUCAACUAAAGGAUCAAAAGUUUCAGAUAAGCAAGCACUUCUCUACAUAAUGCAGUCACCCUGGUUUUUUAUUUUGAGCACCAAGUAUUAAAAUUACAAUUAAUUAAAUACUGCCCCGCCACACACAUACUUUUAACUCUCUUAUGUAUUUAUUAAACACAUGCUACAUGUCAGACACUGCACUCAACAUCCACUAUUCCAUGUAAUCCUCUCAAAAGCCCAUCUGAAGGAUGCUAAGAUCAGACAGAAGUUCAGAGGCAAGCAAUUCAAACCAAAGUCAGUUUCUACUGUGCCACUCUACAUUCUUAAGAAAAAAUGCCUUCAUGACCAACACCUGGGGAAAAAAACUCUUCUCUCAUAGCAGCCUGAAUCUACAGAUGCUUGUCGCUGUCACCCCACCUUCAUCCCCAUAUGCAUCCUUCCAACCCAGGCAGAGAGGAUGACUUACCGCAUUGGAACAUAGCACCCUUGCCCCAGCCUUUCCUAUUCCUUCCCUGUUUUUGCGUAGAUAAGCCCACUCAUUAUUGCCAUUAAAAUUUCUUAACAUACAUAACAUAAACUGAGUUAAUCAUAAGCGUGUACAGCUCUGUGUUUACUUACCAAGACACAGAUGCGCCAGGCAUUUCCAUUCUGACCCUUUCCAAUCAAUAACCUCUGUCCAAAGGUGACUGCUCUUGUUUUCCAUUACCAUGGAAUUUCUAUUACCAUGCUUCUUUUGUACUUUUUGCAAAUGAAAUCCUUUAGUAUGUAUGCUUUUGUAUUUGGCUUCUUUUGCUCAACAUAUAUCCACUCAAUGCUGAAAACACAAGGCUCACUUCCUCCAGUGGGGGCUCCUCUGAUACAUAAACCAAUCCUUCCAUCUCCAUCCCAGUCUGAUAAUCCUGUUUCUAGGGCACCCCUCUGCACAAUUCUAUUAUAUUGCUGGUCAACAGUAAGCCUCAUAAAAGCAGGCAGCUUAUCCAUUUGGUUCACUGCAUUAUCUCUACAACAUUGCCCAACACGUAACAGGGGCUCAGUAUAUGUCUGCUAAUGAAUGAAUUAUAUAACUCAUCACAUAUUGAGCCCAAUCAUUUACUGACUCAUCUGCUUCUCUUACCAGGCUAUAAACUCCAGAAUGGCAGGAAUUGGGCCUUGUUCUAAAUAAUAUUCUGAAGCACCUAUGUGUCAGAGGACAAAGCAAGUCUGGUAUGUUAAGCACCUAACCCAGGCAGUCUGAAAUCAAAGAGGUGGUGUUACGCAGCAGGUGUUUACAAAAUAAUGAUGGAAGGCAGGAAGGGUGGAAACUGUGGUAUCUUGAAAGACAGGCAUUUUCAAAGAUUAAGAUGAGGCUGGGCCUUGAUCAAGAUGGUGUGUCAAGUAGUAAUAUGCACAAUUUAUAUAGAAGCCAAGGCUCCUGUCUUGCUUUUAAAACCUCUCUCUCUCUCUCUCUCUCUAAUACAGGACAAAGGGCUUUACAAUAGUUCUGUAAGAAAUAAGCAAAGCACAACUUCAUGUAAAAUAAUUCCCAGGCAAACACUUGUAUCUUUGCUAUGAUGUCUUUAUUGGGAAUAAGAUCUAUUUUUUACACAGGCUCAAGUGGAAUUUGCAAAGUACAAAGCCAAUCGAAAACAAAAUACCUCAUGAAUAGAAGUGUUGCUCACCAAGAGAAAUCUAAAAUGAUCCAUUUGUGUCUCUCUAUGCCAUACUGAAACAAAUUAUACAUAGCCUAUACUGCUGUCUUCUGGAGCAAUUUAGAGCAACUUGGAGCCAGUGAGGCAGAUCUUCCUGUACACAGACACCGUCUCUGGCACUGAGUGGCCAGUAUCAGCAGUGGCUUUGCCCUACAGCCAGUUUCCAGAAGUCCAGAUGAAAUCUUUCACUUCUGUGGCAUGCUGCCUGGAUGCUAAUAGCAUCUCUUAGACAUGGCCACCCCUCACAGGGACUCCAGAGGAUAGAACAAGACACUCCUUGUUGCUAUCACUAAAAGGAGCAGCUUUUUGAGACUUUCAAUUGAGUGAGUCCCACCCCCCCCUCUUAGAUGCUGUCAAAUCCACAGGACUUCCCCUGGGGCUUUCAAGAGUCUGCCAAGAGGCCGGGCGGGGCGGCUCACACUUGUAAUCCCAGCACUUUUGGAGGCCGAGGCAGGGAUCACCUGAGGUCAGGAGUUCGAGACCAGCCUGACCAACAUGGAGAAACCCCAUCUCUGCUAAAAAUACAAAAUUAGCUGGGCGUGGUGGUGCACGCCUGUAAUCCCAGCUACUCAGGAGGCUGAGGCAGAGAAUUGCUUCAACCUGGGAGGCGGAGGUUGCGGUGAGCCAAGAGUGCACCAUUGCACUCCAGCCUAGGCGACAAGAGCAAAACUCCGUCUCAAAAAAAAAGAGCCUGCUAAGGAGCUCCCCCAGCUAUGAAGCAGAAAGUACUACAUCUCUAAAGCAGGAACUAAGUUGUUAUAAGAUGGAUUCUAGGGACAGGAAAAACCAGGGCAUAGACUUACCCACGAUUAAAUUUAGACAUGAAGUCUAGGGCUCACUCACAGACAUCUAUUUUCUCCAGGGACGUAUCGAUAUAAAACAAUUGAGAUGAAUUCACAAUCUACCACACAGCCAGUUCACAGACUUUUCCCUUUGCACAAAGUGACAAGAGUAAGCAAUGCUGCACUGAAUCCCAUCUGUGGCAUAUCAACUUUGAAGACUCGCCUUACCACUCCUUCCUCUACCCACAUUCACUUUGCACAGGCCCUGGGCUAGCUUGGAGAGGUGCACAGCAAAUACACUGGAGUCCCUUGCUUUUUACCGCCCUCAGUAUGAGGGAACACACAGAGCAGAAAACACUCACAAAAUCCAAUACAGCAUGCAGUGUGCUGAAAUGGAACACUCUACCAAAACAUUUGACCUACGUAGAGAAAGACGACUAAAUUGAAAAGAGACUCUUUUAACUUAAAUGUCUAUAAAUGUAGUCUUUUCAUAACCCUCAAGUUCUCCAUGCAUGGCAUGAAAUGAUGUUUCUACAGUUUCCUAUCAGCUAUGGUAGCACCUUGUCCUGUCUCUCAUAUAAUUCAUUAUGCACAGUAGGUUUAACUUAAUUGCAUGAAGGUCAAAGAUACAGCAAAGUCUCACUUCUUAUGGAAUACCAGGCAUCAGCUACAAAACAUAGAUACAUACUGAGAAAGUAGGAAGUAGGCUUUGAAAUCACAGAGACAGGGCUGCAGGUGAGGCUGCACAGAACAGAACAUUGGCUGAGGACUCCAUCACUAACAGGGUUUUCUGAUUUCUCAAUAGAAAAAAAUAGCCCUUAGUUGCUCUUUAACCUUCCUUUUAUCCCUCCCAAAGUGGCAUUUGACCAGUUACCUUUUGUGUUUCUUUUUACAGCCUACACAUUUACCUGUGGUUCCUUUUGAUUUCUCUAAAGUCCUUCGAACCUUUGUAAAGAAUAGGAUUGUGAAGAUAGUUGUUUCUGUUCAUUCCCUCACAAACUCAAUUCAACUAGAUUAGUUCAGAAAACUGAUCCAUGAAAGAAAGCCCCAUAGCGUGAAAAAAAGUCAUUAAAAAUGCUGAGACCAGGCCUUAAAAAACUAGAUAUCAGUUCAAUUUGCCAAAUUUUAAAAAAUCUAACUGAAGCAAAAUAAUAUCCCUAGCCCACUAAGAGUUCUAAAAUUUAGAUUUUUGUCACAUGCUAUAUAGUUAAAUCAAUUAUUUCUUGUUUAUCAUAUUACAUUAGCUCAGACCUAAAAAAUCUGGUCCAGAGUCCUUCAGUUAACCUGAAGCGGGUCAAUGAUGUUUUCCUGCUGAUAAAAGACCUCUUGUCCUAUUGGGGUUGGUGAUGAGGACCACAUUAAGAUCAGAUCCUUUGACAGGCACUAGAUAAAUGUAAGAUUAUGACUGGACUUAGAAUUUAGAUUUAACAAGGAAAAAAAUGCUAUACCCUACAAUAAAUAAAAUGUUUCCAUGUA